AAUUUAAGAAUUUGGGCUUUUUAGCCUUUGCUCUUUCCCUCAAACUUUCCUGUCUCCUUAACUUCUGGCUUUGAUGUUGAUUACAUGCUUCAAGGUCUGCAAAUGGGACCAGUGGACGGGGCAGAGGUCAGAAGGAAGAAGAAGCUUAAACGUCUUUGAUUUUGACAGCAGAGUGUAGCUGCUUGUCUCAGGAGGAAAUGUUUAUGUCUGCUUCAAACUUGGCAUCUUGAACUUGAAUCUGAUUUCAUUUAUCAAAACCAAAUCAUUAGCACAGAGGACGUUUAAGGCAGUUGAAAAUACUCUGUAUGAUGUUAUGGCGAUGGAUAUAUGUAAGUAUACAUUUGUCCAAGCACAACAGAAGGUGCCACAUCAAGAGUGAGCCCUAAUGUAAACUAUGGGGAUAAUGACAUGUCAGUAUAGGUUCACUGAUUUUAACAAAUGAACCCUUGCAGGGGACAGGGUUUUCAUAACGGGGGAGGUUAUGCAUGUAUGUGCUGGGGCAGGGGAUGUAUAGGAACCUUUGUACCUUCCCCUUAGUUUUUCUGUGAACUUAAAACUGCUCUAAAAAAUUAAGUCUUAAAAAAAUCAUGUUUGAUUUGAGCUACACCUUAAAUCUAGAUCAUUAUUCCUAACUUGCUUUGUGAGUAGCUCUUUGUUUGCAUUUCCCAAAAGCAGCCCUUGAGAUAAGAAUUCAUCAGCAAAGUGAUCCUGGGAAGCACAGGUGAUUGGAAGUAGGGUUAGGUGCAGAGAAGGGAGAAAGCCAGUAGGAGGGGCGCCCAUCAGCAGAUCUUUGAGGUGGGCAACUACAGCUCACUCUCACUGGAGAGCCUCUGAGAACCAUUGUG
Molecule: long non-coding RNA, 845 nt
Filed under: Canis lupus familiaris (dog)
Lineage: Eukaryota; Metazoa; Chordata; Mammalia; Carnivora; Canidae
Description: lncRNA (ENSCAFG00040009969.1)
Source: RNAcentral